UCAGCAAGACGCUUCUGAAUGGUGCACAUGUGGAAAUUGUGCAACAAUGCCGUCAGAGUCUGAGAACUUAUGCUGCCAGGAGGUACCACAGGUUACAAGACGACUGCAACAGCUGGAAGAAAGGCCUCCAUGUAUGAUAGACCAUCCAGGUUUAGAACCUGUUUGCCUAAAUGUGUUCUCACUGCAGAAUGCAUGCAACAUUUACAGGGCUGACUACGGUCCUUUACAGCUACGGGGAAUAGAGCAUCGUUACAGGUAUUUAGCCUACAGAAGUUUUGUGAGCUGGUGCUGGGGCUUCCUUGGUCGAAAAAUACGGGUAGUGAUCCCCUCGUGUGUCGUACUUCGGAUACGACGGGAGUUUCCAGACGCCCAGGGAAGAUACGUAGGCUUCAAACUCCCGCCCCUUGAUUGAAUCUGGAGACGUAGCUGGCGAUGACCUCCUCCUUGUCUGGAUGCUCAUAUUCUGAAGACGGGUCCGGCGGGAUGUUUAGCUUCAGAAUCUCGUCUCCAUAUGAUGAUGAAAAAGUUAAUCACUAAUAUAAUUUACUACAUUAUUUAACAACUAUUCAUAUUGACAUUAUGCACGUGAAAUUUUAGUUUCUCAGGUAUUUAAGUAAGUUUGUUUGGUUUUAUUUAUCGUGUUAAGUACUAUUGCAAUACUUUGCCAUGUUCAAUGUGAAUGUUUGUUUUUGAGUAAAAAAAAAAAAAACAA
Molecule: long non-coding RNA, 712 nt
Organism: Alosa sapidissima (American shad)
Lineage: Eukaryota; Metazoa; Chordata; Actinopteri; Clupeiformes; Clupeidae
Exons: 4
Source: RefSeq, a predicted model, not a curated record